CUGAUCCUUUUGAAAAAUCCAUUCACACCCAAUGGGUUUUAUCCCUUUAGGUGAAUCAUCUAGUGUCCAUAUACUAUUGAUUUUCAUGGACUUCAAUUUAGAUUUAAUGGCUCCAAGCCACUUCUCAGAGUUAGACCACUGUAUUACAUCCCUAUAGGUGAUCGGAUCCUUGUUAAUCUCAUCGAGAUUAACAGGAUCGCCGUCCCAGACCUAAACACUGAAGUGUCUGUCCGACUAACGCGGUACUCUAUCAGAUCUCCUUAAAGGUG
This 269-nucleotide long non-coding RNA is filed under the name Elaeis guineensis (African oil palm). RNAcentral's name for it is "long non-coding RNA (EGUI_LNC042563)". The record is from RNAcentral. Lineage: Eukaryota; Viridiplantae; Streptophyta; Magnoliopsida; Arecales; Arecaceae.